AACGCAUAUUGCGCUCUUUGGUAUUCCGAAGAGCAUGCUUGUUUGAGUAUCAGUAAACACCUCAAAGCCUUUUUUUUGUUAAAAGGCCUUGGACUUGAGCAAUCCCAACACUUUUCCUCCAAGAAAAGUGGCGGGUUGCUUGAAAUGCAGGUGCAGCUGGACAUUCUCCUGAGCUAAAAGCAUAUUCAUUUAGUCCCGUCAAACGGAUUAUUACUUUUGCUGCAGCUAACAUAAAGGGAGUUUGACCAUUUUGGCUGACUGAUGCAGGAUUUUCACAAGAGUCUUCAAAAGCUUUUGUUAAACUCGAUCUCAAAUCAAGUAAGACUACCCGCUGAACUUAA
RNAcentral lists this unclassified non-coding RNA (341 nucleotides) under Micarea sp. RNAcentral describes it as "partial contains 5.8S ribosomal RNA, internal transcribed spacer 2, and large subunit ribosomal RNA". The record is from RNAcentral. Lineage: Eukaryota; Fungi; Ascomycota; Lecanoromycetes; Lecanorales; Micareaceae.